GGAUUUCUCGGUUACACUACUCAUUGUGUACUGUAGUAUUGAAGUUUUAUUCUAAAGAAUGAUACACUGAAUGUUAAGCUAUAUUGCUCUUAAUUGAAUAUGUGUAAUAGUAUAGAAUUAGCAUUUCAGAGCUUUAAGUUAGUAGUGUAUCAACCUGAUUGUUCUCAUUUUUGCCUGAUUAGCUAUAUUACUAAUGCUACACAAUUGUUUCAUGUCUAGGAAAAACGUGCGAAGAGCAAUCUCAUUUUGUUUUAUACAUUUCGGAAGCAAGAAAAAUACAAAGGUAUAGAGCAAACUUUGACCUCCUAUUUUUUAACAGUACUGGAAUCAAAUGAACUUAUAUAAGUUUUUUAACUAAAAGUUCUGAUUGCUAGGUAUUAGACUUAGAGAUGGUGUGUUCAUUUCUUAAUUUUGACACCAUGUUCUUUGCAGGUUGUUGGACUCAUUUUAGUGAUUUGUGAAGUGUGGUGUGACUGACUGGAGUCCAACACCAUGUUUUCAUCCUUUUGGCAUCAUUGGAGUAGUGUGCUAUUUCUAUUAG
Molecule: long non-coding RNA, 541 nt
Filed under: Sorghum bicolor (sorghum)
Lineage: Eukaryota; Viridiplantae; Streptophyta; Magnoliopsida; Poales; Poaceae
Description: long non-coding RNA (SBIC_LNC000299)
Source: RNAcentral